GAUGAACGCUGGCGGCGUGCCUAAUACAUGCAAGUCGAGCGAACGGACGAGAAGCUUGCUUCUCUGAUGUUAGCGGCGGACGGGUGAGUAACACGUGGAUAACCUACCUAUAAGACUGGGAUAACUUCGGGAAACCGUAGCUAAUACCGGAUAAUAUUUUGAACCGCAUGGUUCAAUAGUGAAAGACGGUCUUGCUGUCUCGUAUAGAUGGAUCCGCGCUGCAUUAGCUGGUUGGUACGGUAACGGCUUACCAAGGCAACGAUGCAUAGCCGACCGCAGAGAGGGGUCGGCGGCACGGGAGCUGGGACGCGGUCCAGGCGCCUACGGGAGGCAGCAGUAGCGAAUCGUACGCAGAGGGCGGGAGCCUGACGGAACGACGCCGCGUGAGUGAUGGAAGUCUUCGGAGCGUAAAACUCUGUUAUGAGUGAAGAACAUAUGUGGACUGAACUGUAGACAGAUUGACGGUACCGAGUCAGAAAGCCACGGCUAACUACGUG
RNAcentral lists this ribosomal RNA (497 nucleotides) under uncultured bacterium. RNAcentral's name for it is "partial 16S ribosomal RNA". It matches the Rfam family "Bacterial small subunit ribosomal RNA", at positions 28 to 507 of the family's 1533-position model. The record is from RNAcentral.